This 737-nucleotide ribosomal RNA is filed under the name uncultured bacterium. Its description in RNAcentral is "bacterial SSU rRNA". It matches the Rfam family "Bacterial small subunit ribosomal RNA", at positions 56 to 790 of the family's 1533-position model. The record is from RNAcentral.
UGCAAGUCGAACGGAACUGUUUUGAAAGAUUUCUUCGGAAUGAAUUUGAUUUAGUUUAGUGGCGGACGGGUGAGUAACGCGUGAGUAACCUGCCUUCAAGAGGGGGAUAACAUUCUGAAAAGAAUGCUAAUACCGCAUGACAUAUCGGAACCACAUGGUUUUGAUAUCAAAGAUUUUAUCGCUUGAAGGUGGACUCGCGUCCGAUUAGUUAGUUGGUGAGGUAACGGCUCACCAAGACCGCGAUCGGUAGCCGGACUGAGAGGUUGAACGGCCACAUUGGGACUGAGACACGGCCCAGACUCCUACGGGAGGCAGCAGUGGGGGAUAUUGCGCAAUGGGGGCAACCCUGACGCAGCAACGCCGCGUGAAGGAUGAAGGUUUUCGGAUUGUAAACUUCUUUUAUUAAGGACGAAAAAUGACGGUACUUAAUGAAUAAGCUCCGGCUAACUACGUGCCAGCAGCCGCGGUAAUACGUAGGGAGCAAGCGUUGUCCGGAUUUACUGGGUGUAAAGGGUGCGUAGGCGGCUUUGCAAGUCAGAUGUGAAAUCUAUGGGCUCAACCCAUAAACUGCAUUUGAAACUGUAGAGCUUGAGUGAAGUAGAGGCAGGCGGAAUUCCCCGUGUAGCGGUGAAAUGCGUAGAGAUGGGGAGGAACACCAGUGGCGAAGGCGGCCUGCUGGGCUUUAACUGACGCUGAGGCACGAAAGCGUGGGUAGCAAACAGGAUUAGAUACCCUGG